RNAcentral lists this ribosomal RNA (497 nucleotides) under uncultured bacterium. Its description in RNAcentral is "partial 16S ribosomal RNA". It matches the Rfam family "Bacterial small subunit ribosomal RNA", at positions 28 to 507 of the family's 1533-position model. The record is from RNAcentral.
GACGAACGCUGGCGGCGUGCCUAAUACAUGCAAGUUGAGCGCUGAAGGUUGGUACUUGUACCAACUGGAUGAGCAGCGAACGGGUGGGUAACGCGUGGGGAAUCUGCCUUUGAGCGGGGGACAACAUUUGGAAACAAAUGCUAAUACCGCAUAAAAACUUUAAACACAAGUUUUAAGUUUGAAAGAUGCAAUUGCAUCACUCAAAGAUGAUCCCGCGUUGUAUUAGCUAGUUGGUGAGGUAAAGGCUCACCAAGGCGAUGAUACAUAGCCGACCUGAGAGGGUGAUCGGCCACAUUGGGACUGAGACACGGCCCAAACUCCUACGGGAGGCAGCAGUAGGGAAUCUUCGGCAGUGGACGAAAGUCUGACCGAGCAACGCCGCGUGAGUGAAGAAGGUUUUCGGAUCGUAAAACUCUGUUGGUAGAGAAGAACGUUGGUGAGAGUGGAAAGCUCAUCAAGUGACGGUAACUACCCAGAAAGGGACGGCUAACUACGUG